This 81-nucleotide transfer RNA is filed under the name Canis lupus familiaris (dog). It matches the Rfam family "tRNA". Rfam says of the family: Transfer RNA (tRNA) molecules are approximately 80 nucleotides in length. Their secondary structure includes four short double-helical elements and three loops (D, anti-codon, and T loops). The record is from Rfam by way of RNAcentral. Lineage: Eukaryota; Metazoa; Chordata; Mammalia; Carnivora; Canidae.
GCCUGGGUGGCUCAGUGAUUGAGCAUCUGCCUUCGACCCAGGCGUAAUCCCAGGAUCUGGGAUCGAGUCCCAUCUUGGGCU